This is a non-coding RNA of Lactobacillus gasseri, 124 nucleotides long. NCBI's taxonomy places the organism in Bacteria, Bacillati, Bacillota, Bacilli, Lactobacillales, Lactobacillaceae. The record is from Rfam.
AUUGUACAGUAAAUUCUACCUAAGACUCGGGUGGCUAACGUGCCUUAAUAUCCCGCCGAGGCCAGAAAAACUAAGAGUUUUAUAACUCCAUGUCUUUUUGGCAUGGAGUUUUUAUUUCGGCUGA